GAUGAACGCUGGCGGCGUGCCUAAUACAUGCAAGUCGAGCGAACGGACGAGAAGCUUGCUUCUCUUAUGUUAGCGGCGGACGGGUGAGUAACACGUGGAUAACCUACCUAUCAGACUGGGAUAACUUCGGGAAACCGGAGCUAAUACCGGAUAAUAUUUUGAACCUCAUGGUUCAAAAGUUAAAGACGGUCUUGCUGUCACUUCUAGAUGGAUCCGCGCUGCAUUAGCUAGUUGGUAAGGUAACGGCUUACCAAGGCAACGAUGCAUAGCCGACCUGAGAGGGUGAUCGGCCACACUGGAACUGAGACACGGUCCAGACUCCUACGGGAGGCAGCAGUAGGGAAUCUUCCGCAAUGGGCGAAAGCCUGACGGAGCAACGCCGCGUGAGUGAUGAAGGUCUUCGGAUCGUAAAACUCUGUUAUUAGGGAAGAACAUAUGUGUAAGUAACUGUGCACAUCUUGACGGUACCUAAUCAGAAAGCCACGGCUAACUACGUG
This 497-nucleotide ribosomal RNA is filed under the name uncultured bacterium. Its description in RNAcentral is "partial 16S ribosomal RNA". It matches the Rfam family "Bacterial small subunit ribosomal RNA", at positions 28 to 507 of the family's 1533-position model. The record is from RNAcentral.